Molecule: ribosomal RNA, 264 nt
Filed under: uncultured bacterium
Lineage: Bacteria
Description: partial small subunit ribosomal RNA
Rfam family: Bacterial small subunit ribosomal RNA
Source: RNAcentral
AGGAUUAACGCUGGCGGCGUGCAUGAAACAUGCAAGUCGAGCGCGGGACAGUGGCUUCGGUUACUGUCUCUAGCGGCGAACGGGUGAGUAACACGUGAGCAACCUACCUUUGAGUCUGGAAUAGCCCUGGGAAACCAGGAUUAAUGCCGGAUGUGGUCACGACGAGACAUCUCGAUGUGAGUAAAGGGGCAACCCGCUCAAUGACGGGCCCGCGGCCUAUCAGCUUGUUGGUGGGGUAACGGCCUACCAAGGCGACGACGGGUA